GCUCAGGACGAACGCUGGCGGCGUGCCUAACACAUGCAAGUCGAACGGAGAAUUUUAUUUCGGUAGAAUUCUUAGUGGCGAACGGGUGAGUAACGCGUAGGCAACCUACCCUUUAGACGGGGACAACAUUCCGAAAGGAGUGCUAAUACCGGAUGUGAUCAUCUUGCCGCAUGGCAGGAUGAAGAAAGAUGGCCUCUACAAGUAAGCUAUCGCUAAAGGAUGGGCCUGCGUCUGAUUAGCUAGUUGGUAGUGUAACGGACUACCAAGGCGAUGAUCAGUAGCCGGUCUGAGAGGAUGAACGGCCACAUUGGGACUGAGACACGGCCCAAACUCCUACGGGAGGCAGCAGUA
RNAcentral lists this ribosomal RNA (351 nucleotides) under uncultured bacterium. RNAcentral's name for it is "bacterial SSU rRNA". It matches the Rfam family "Bacterial small subunit ribosomal RNA", at positions 22 to 356 of the family's 1533-position model. The record is from RNAcentral.